RNAcentral lists this ribosomal RNA (253 nucleotides) under uncultured bacterium. RNAcentral's name for it is "partial 16S ribosomal RNA". It matches the Rfam family "Bacterial small subunit ribosomal RNA", at positions 524 to 776 of the family's 1533-position model. The record is from RNAcentral.
UACAGAGACCUCAAGCGUUAUCCGGAAUUAUUGGGCGUAAAGCGUCCGCAGGUGGUUUGGUAAGUCAGGAGUCAAAACUUCGCGCUUAACGUGAAGGUUGCUUUUGAAACUACCAUUCUAGAGUAUGGGAGAGGUAAGCAGAAUUCUCGGUGUAGUCGUAAUAAGCGUUGAUAUCGAGAAGAAUACCAAAUGCGAAGGCAGCUUACUGGAACAUUACUGACACUCAUGGACGAAAGCGUGGGGAGCAAACAGG